CAUCUCUUUUGCACACCGACCUUCAGACUUUGUUUUUAAAAAUAGCUAUCUCCAGAAUCAGAACAAAAAAUUCUGCCUAUUUAAUACUUAUGAAUAUUUCACAUCCAUGUUAUGAAUGUAUAAAUAGCAGUAAAGGAAAGAUGGCAGAUUUGGGGUAAAUGACCAUGUCAUGCAGCUCAAGCCCAAAGUGAAGCUAUGAAAUAGAUGGUUUGUCUUCAGGGCCUGACACUCCCUCUAGUCAGCAGGGCCUUCCCAAGUGACCCACUGCUACCGAGCCCUAAGGGACCGGUGACUUGCACGUGGGUCCUUUUGCCCAGAGCCACUCCCGCUAAUAGAAUGAGACUGGACUUGGAACAGCAGAGCAGAAACGUUAUUCAUUGAUCAACAAACAGAGGCCGAGUUCAUGCCGUAAAACUCCUUCUCCCGGAAGGGAAGUACUAUCAUCUUCUGAAGGUACUGACUGGUUUGCUUGCUGGUCUGCUUUCUGGCUGUCCCACUAGGAUAUGAGCUCUCGGGAGCGGCACUGUCGUGAUUCUGAGGCGGAGGUUACCAAACAGGCCUUUACCAGGGAGCCCUUGGCGUCAACGCUGCGGAAGGGGAGGAGACACGCAGGACUGGGCAGAGGGAGACCUUGGACCUCAUGCAAUCACGACAGGCAGCUCCGCACACCCGACAGGAAGUUCUGAAGAUGGGUGACCCUUCAGAACUAACCAGAUUUGGACUGGAGGCCCAGGCCUUUGGAUCUCUGGGCUAUUGAUAAUUGGAUGUGCGCUGUCCCAGGAAGGAGGCG
This 790-nucleotide long non-coding RNA is filed under the name Equus caballus (horse). Its description in RNAcentral is "lncRNA (ENSECAG00000049928.1)". Lineage: Eukaryota; Metazoa; Chordata; Mammalia; Perissodactyla; Equidae. The record is from RNAcentral.